GACGAACGCUGGCGGCGUGCUUAACACAUGCAAGUCGAACGGAAAGGCCCUGAUUGCAGGGUACUCGAGUGGCGAACGGGUGAGUAACACGUGGGUGAUCUGCCCUGCACUUCGGGAUAAGAUUGGGAAACUGGGUCUAAUACCGGAUAGGAGCCAUCUUUAGUGUGGUGGUUGGAAAGUUUUUUCGGUGUAGGAUGAGCUCGCGGCCUAUCAGCUUGCUGGUGGGGUAAUGGCCUACCAAGGCGGCGACGGGUAGCCGGCCUGAGAGGGUGUACGGCCACAUUGGGACUGAGAUACGGCCCAGACUCCGACGUGAGGCAGCAGUGGGGAAUAUUGCACAAUGGGCGCAAGCCUGAUGCAGCGACGCCGCGUGGGGGAUGAAGGCCUUCGGGUUGUAAACUCCUUUCGCUAGGGACGAAGCUUUUUUGUGACGGUACCUAGAUAAGAAGCACCGGCUAACUACGUG
This 466-nucleotide ribosomal RNA is filed under the name uncultured bacterium. RNAcentral describes it as "partial 16S ribosomal RNA". It matches the Rfam family "Bacterial small subunit ribosomal RNA", at positions 28 to 507 of the family's 1533-position model. The record is from RNAcentral.